This 253-nucleotide ribosomal RNA is filed under the name uncultured bacterium. Its description in RNAcentral is "partial 16S ribosomal RNA". It matches the Rfam family "Bacterial small subunit ribosomal RNA", at positions 524 to 776 of the family's 1533-position model. The record is from RNAcentral.
UACAGAGGUCUCAAGCGUUGUUCGGAUUUAUUGGGCGUAAAGAUCGUGUAGGCGGCCAGAUAGGUCUGCUGUGAAAACUCGAGGCUCAACCUCGAGAUGUCGGCGGAAACCAUUUGGCUAGAGUCCGGAAGAGGAAAGUGGAAUUCCUGGUGUAGCGGUGAAAUGCGCAGAUAUCAGGAGGAACACCAAUUGCGAAGGCAGCUCGCUGGGACGUGACUGACGCUGAGACGCGAAAGCGUGGGGAGCAAACAGG